GGUCAAUGAUGAGUCUUGGCAUGUAUUAUGAAUCUAAAGUUGAUGAUUAUCACACUUUAGCUCUAGAAUUACUCUGAGACCUG
Small nucleolar RNA from Gopherus agassizii (Agassiz's desert tortoise), 83 nucleotides. The record is from Ensembl. NCBI's taxonomy places the organism in Eukaryota, Metazoa, Chordata, Testudines, Testudinidae.